RNAcentral lists this ribosomal RNA (253 nucleotides) under uncultured bacterium. Its description in RNAcentral is "partial 16S ribosomal RNA". It matches the Rfam family "Bacterial small subunit ribosomal RNA", at positions 524 to 776 of the family's 1533-position model. The record is from RNAcentral.
UACAGAGGGUGCGAGCGUUAAUCGGAAUUACUGGGCGUAAAGCGCGCGUAGGCGGCUUUGCAAGUCGGGUGUGAAAUCCCCAGGCUUAACCUGGGAACUGCAUUCGAGACUGCAUUACUAGAGUAUGGGAGAGGGAAGUGGAAUUUCCGGUGUAGCGGUGAAAUGCGUAGGUAUCGGAAGGAACAUCAGUGGCGAAAGCGACUUCCUGGACCAAUACUGACGCUCAUGUGCGAAAGCGUGGGGAGCAAACAGG